GACGAACCGUCCUAACGUUGUUCGGAAUCACUGGGCUUAAAGGGCGCGUAGGCGGGCCACAAAGUCCGGGGUGAAAUCUUUCGGCUCAACCGGAAAAUAGCCUUGGAUACUGGUGGUCUGGAGGGUGGUAGGGGCAUGUGGAACUUCCGGUGGAGCGGUGAAAUGCGUUGAUAUCGGAAGGAACGCCGGUGGCGAAAGCGACGUGCUGGACCACUUCUGACGCUGAGGCACGAAGGCCAGGGGAGCAAACGGG
RNAcentral lists this ribosomal RNA (253 nucleotides) under uncultured bacterium. RNAcentral describes it as "partial 16S ribosomal RNA". It matches the Rfam family "Bacterial small subunit ribosomal RNA", at positions 524 to 776 of the family's 1533-position model. The record is from RNAcentral.